RNAcentral lists this small RNA (92 nucleotides) under Flavobacterium branchiophilum. Its description in RNAcentral is "Flavo-1 RNA". Lineage: Bacteria; Pseudomonadati; Bacteroidota; Flavobacteriia; Flavobacteriales; Flavobacteriaceae. The record is from RNAcentral.
ACCCCGGCCUGAACGGAGCUCUUUUUUUCUUGCCGCUCGACGGUUUUAUGGGUUUUGCGGCAAGAAAAAAAAGCGGGAGUGGAGGACGGAUA